UGGCGGUAUGCUUAACACAUGCAAGUCGAACGGUAACAGGCCUUCGGGCGCUGACGAGUGGCGGACGGGUGAGUAACGCGUAGGAAUCUGCCUCGUAGUGGGGGGCAACGUGGGGAAACUCACGCUAAUACCGCAUACGCCCUAAGGGGGAAAGGAGGGGAUCUUCGGACCUUUCGCUAUGAGAUGAGCCUGCGUUAGAUUAGCUAGUUGGUAGGGUAAAGGCCUACCAAGGCGACGAUCUAUAGCUGGUCUGAGAGGACGAUCAGCCACACUGGGACUGAGACACGGCCCAGACUCCUACGGGAGGCAGCAGUGGGGAAUAUUGGACAAUGGGCGAAAGCCUGAUCCAGCAAUACCGCGUGUGUGAAGAAGGCCUUAGGGUUGUAAAGCACUUUCAAUUGGGAGGAAAACCUACCGGUCAAUACCCGGUAGCUUGACAUUACCUUUAGAAGAAGCACCGGCUAACUCCGUGUACGUG
This 478-nucleotide ribosomal RNA is filed under the name uncultured bacterium. RNAcentral's name for it is "bacterial SSU rRNA". It matches the Rfam family "Bacterial small subunit ribosomal RNA", at positions 37 to 513 of the family's 1533-position model. The record is from RNAcentral.